ACUCUGUUUCUCCCAAUAGAGGCUCCUCCCCUCUGGGGUCUUCCCAUUUUUAUCAUGUGGUGAUGCACUUAUUGGGAUGCAUUCAGAGGUUCAUUCUCUUUCAGUGAAAGCGGGCAGGCCAGUCACUCCAGCUCAACCACACCAUGGAGGAUGUCUCUGUGGUCUCAUGUCCACCUUCAUUUGCAAGAUGUCUGCCACAGUUCCAGAUAAUCCGUGGGAUCCCAGGGGAAAGAAGACGUCUCCUCCUGUAUUGUGACAACUAGCAGGCACACAAAAAUGAACACCACGUGGGCCUUGACCUGGAGAGCUAGCAAGCAAACUGGCAUCCCAUGUCAUUUCAAAAUUGUAUAGUAAGCAAGGAGAGGCAUGCAGUGUUCUGGAAGCACCGAGAAGGAUCCCUCAGCUCUACUGAGGGAUGAUUCCUGGGGAGAGACCAAGUGGACUGGCUAUAGAUGCUGAGAAUGAGUUUGACUAUGAAGACAAUGCUGUAAGAUAAAGAUGCAGACAUACACAGUGUUUGAAGAAGUCUGGAUGAAAAUAACUCGCACUACCAUCUAUGCGGCUGCCCCAAAGCCAGAGUGGAGAAGUACUGACAUUGUAGAAACCUUCACUUUCUAUGUACUGUUUACUUUUUUGUACAGUGCUAGUGAAUUAUCAGAAAGAAAAACAUAAAUUUUUCCAAGUAAAAAAAAA
Long non-coding RNA from Panthera uncia (snow leopard), 693 nucleotides. RefSeq lists it as uncharacterized. NCBI's taxonomy places the organism in Eukaryota, Metazoa, Chordata, Mammalia, Carnivora, Felidae. The record is from RefSeq and is a predicted model, not a curated record. The transcript has 3 exons.